RNAcentral lists this ribosomal RNA (1404 nucleotides) under Dechloromonas sp. UKPF6b. Its description in RNAcentral is "bacterial SSU rRNA". It matches the Rfam family "Bacterial small subunit ribosomal RNA". The record is from RNAcentral. Lineage: Bacteria; Pseudomonadati; Pseudomonadota; Betaproteobacteria; Rhodocyclales; Azonexaceae.
UGCAAGUCGAACGGCAGCGGGGACUUCGGUCCGCCGGCGAGUGGCGAACGGGUGAGUAAUAUAUCGGAACGUACCUUUCAGUGGGGGAUAACGUAGCGAAAGUUACGCUAAUACCGCAUAUUCUGUGAGCAGGAAAGCAGGGGAUCUUCGGACCUUGCGCUGAUUGAGCGGCCGAUAUCAGAUUAGCUAGUUGGUGAGGUAAAGGCUCACCAAGGCGACGAUCUGUAGCGGGUCUGAGAGGAUGAUCCGCCACACUGGAACUGAGACACGGUCCAGACUCCUACGGGAGGCAGCAGUGGGGAAUUUUGGACAAUGGGGGCAACCCUGAUCCAGCCAUGCCGCGUGAGUGAAGAAGGCCUUCGGGUUGUAAAGCUCUUUCGGCCGGGAAGAAAUCGCACAGGUUAAUACCCUGUGUGGAUGACGGUACCGGAAUAAGAAGCACCGGCUAACUACGUGCCAGCAGCCGCGGUAAUACGUAGGGUGCGAGCGUUAAUCGGAAUUACUGGGCGUAAAGCGUGCGCAGGCGGUUUUGUAAGACAGGCGUGAAAUCCCCGGGCUCAACCUGGGAACUGCGUUUGUGACUGCAAGGCUAGAGUAUGGCAGAGGGGGGUGGAAUUCCACGUGUAGCAGUGAAAUGCGUAGAGAUGUGGAGGAACACCGAUGGCGAAGGCAGCCCCCUGGGCCAAUACUGACGCUCAUGCACGAAAGCGUGGGUAGCAAACAGGAUUAGAUACCCUGGUAGUCCACGCCCUAAACGAUGUCAACUAGGUGUUGGGUGGGUAAAACCAUUUAGUACCGGAGCUAACGCGUGAAGUUGACCGCCUGGGGAGUACGGCCGCAAGGUUAAAACUCAAAGGAAUUGACGGGGACCCGCACAAGCGGUGGAUGAUGUGGAUUAAUUCGAUGCAACGCGAAAAACCUUACCUACCCUUGACAUGUCCAGAAGCCCUUAGAGAUUUGGGUGUGCCCGAAAGGGAGCUGGAACACAGGUGCUGCAUGGCUGUCGUCAGCUCGUGUCGUGAGAUGUUGGGUUAAGUCCCGCAACGAGCGCAACCCUUGUCGUUAAUUGCCAUCAUUUAGUUGGGCACUUUAACGAGACUGCCGGUGACAAACCGGAGGAAGGUGGGGAUGACGUCAAGUCCUCAUGGCCCUUAUGGGUAGGGCUUCACACGUCAUACAAUGGUCGGUACAGAGGGUUGCCAAGCCGCGAGGUGGAGCCAAUCCCAGAAAGCCGAUCGUAGUCCGGAUCGUAGGCUGCAACUCGCCUGCGUGAAGUCGGAAUCGCUAGUAAUCGCGGAUCAGCAUGUCGCGGUGAAUACGUUCCCGGGUCUUGUACACACCGCCCGUCACACCAUGGGAGCGGGUUCCGCCAGAAGUAGGUAGCCUAACCGCAAGGGGGGCGCU